CCUACGGGUGGCAGCAGUGAGGAAUAUUGGUCAAUGGGCGCGAGCCUGAACCAGCCAAGUAGCGUGAAGGAUGACUGCCCUACGGGUUGUACACUUCUUUUAUAAAGGAAUAAAGUGCGGCACGUGUGCCUUUUUGUAUGUACUUUAUUAAUAAGGAUCGGCUAACUCCGUGCCAGCAGCCGCGGUAAUCCGGAGGAUCCGAGCGUUAUCCGGAUUAUUGGGUUUAAAGGGAGCGGAGAUGGGUUGUUAAGUCAGUUGUUAAAGUUUGCGGGUCAACCGUAAAAUUGCAAUUGAUACUGGCAGUCUGGAGUACAGUUGAGGUAGGCGGAAUUCGUGGUGUAGCGGUGAAAUGCUUAGAUAUCACGAAGAACUCCGAUUGCGAAGGCAGCUUACUAAACGGCAACUGACACUGAUGCUCGAAAGUGUGGGUAUCAAACAGGAUUAGAUACCCCAGUAGUC
RNAcentral lists this ribosomal RNA (459 nucleotides) under uncultured bacterium. Its description in RNAcentral is "partial 16S ribosomal RNA". It matches the Rfam family "Bacterial small subunit ribosomal RNA", at positions 338 to 795 of the family's 1533-position model. The record is from RNAcentral.